Molecule: unclassified non-coding RNA, 1213 nt
Filed under: Hevea brasiliensis (rubber tree)
Lineage: Eukaryota; Viridiplantae; Streptophyta; Magnoliopsida; Malpighiales; Euphorbiaceae
Source: RNAcentral
AGUAUAUGUCUUUUUGUUGUAGAUGUUGCCCUCUUGAUCUUCAUAUUCUUCUUCAAGAUCAGGGCGCCACUUAUUCACCCCUUGUCUUUCUUGGAUUCUUUCCCAAAGUAGCUUGGCUUCUUCGAUUGAUGUGAUCUCAUUGAAGUUUUUAGUAUUUGGGAUACCGAGGCAACGCAUCCCAUGUUGAUGUCUCCAUUCCUUGAAAUGCCGCUCAUAAGCCCUACGGCCCCAGUAACUAUGGUUCCCACAUAUCUCACACUUGAACUCCUGACCAAGACCGUGAAGUUUAUACAACCAGUAUGGAAUAGGUUUCCCAUCCCAGCCCAUUGGCAAUUUCAGAGGAUUAUAAAUUUGUUGGUCUUCAUCAUCACUCUCAGACUCAGCCUGAACAUCGUCCUCUUCACGUUCUGCCUCCAUUUCUUCAUAUGUCAAAGCCUGCUUUUUCUCAACAUUUUCUCUUGUCCGCACAAUUGUCUCAUCCAACAGAUCACAUAGCCUUCUUAUCUUGGCUUCCAAGAGAGCAAUCUCUUUAACAUCACCCACGUGAGAAGUCGCAACAACACUGUUUUGUUCUGGUUUCCACGAACCCUUGGCGAAAUGCUUUCUGUCUAGUUUUUCAAGCGAGAUGUUCUUCGUAAGGAAAAGUCUCUCGGCACGUUGCUGAAUAGUACCUCCUGUCUUCAGUCCCAGUGCUCCCAAUGCCUCCUUUAACUUCUCUGGUCCCACUACCAUCAGCUCCUCAGCUGUACUAUAAUAAUCAAGAUCAAUCACAGUAUAAUUCUCUGGAGCACUUCCAUUUUCCUGACCAUUAUUUUCCCAUCCUUCUACCUUGCCCAAAGUCCACUCCUCUUCGAAUUCACUUGUUACCUUUGAAAAUAUCCUAUCAAGAUCCUGCAAGGGCUCCGUCCGCUCAAAAAAGUAGACCAGAUACUCCAAUAGUUUCUGCAAAUAUUCUAGGUACCGCCUAGUCGUCUUUGCUUUACGAGGAAUCUUCUGUGGUUCAGAAAAUACAUUAAGAUAAGCCGUGUAUUCAAUUGGUUCACCAAAUUUGGAGUUGAUAUACUCGUUAAACAAUUCAUGUAAGUCAAGGUAUCGCCCAGAACCUUCCUCGCCGCUAAACUCAAUUUGUGGUUCUUCUUUGAGGAGCUGCUCAUAUUCAUCACCAGUAUCAAUAAUAGCACGCGCAGCAGGAUGCCUUCUAUGGUACUCACGA